RNAcentral lists this ribosomal RNA (425 nucleotides) under uncultured bacterium. Its description in RNAcentral is "bacterial SSU rRNA". It matches the Rfam family "Bacterial small subunit ribosomal RNA", at positions 356 to 773 of the family's 1533-position model. The record is from RNAcentral.
AGGGAAUCUUCCACAAUGGACGAAAGUCUGAUGGAGCAACGCCGCGUGAGUGAAGAAGGUUUUCGGAUCGUAAAACUCUGUUAUUGGAGAAGAACGUAUUUGGUAGUAACUGGCCAGAUAGUGACGGUAUCCAAUCAGAAAGCCACGGCUAACUACGUGCCAGCAGCCGCGGUAAUACGUAGGUGGCAAGCGUUGUCCGGAUUUAUUGGGCGUAAAGCGAGUGCAGGCGGUUUUUUAAGUCUGAUGUGAAAGCCUUCGGCUUAACCGAAGAAAUGCAUUGGAAACUGGGAAACUUGAGUGCAGAAGAGGAGAGUGGAACUCCAUGUGUAGCGGUGAAAUGCGUAGAUAUAUGGAAGAACACCAGUGGCGAAGGCGGCUCUCUGGUCUGUAACUGACGCUGAGGCUCGAAAGCGUGGGUAGCAAAC